This 600-nucleotide ribosomal RNA is filed under the name uncultured bacterium. RNAcentral describes it as "bacterial SSU rRNA". It matches the Rfam family "Bacterial small subunit ribosomal RNA", at positions 734 to 1337 of the family's 1533-position model. The record is from RNAcentral.
GUGUUACUGACGCUAAAGCUCGAAAGUGCGGGUAUCGAACAGGAUUAGAUACCCUGGUAGUCCGCACGGUAAACGAUGGAUGCCCGCUGUUUGCCCUUCGGGGUGAGUGGCUAAGCGAAAGCGUUAAGCAUCCCCACCUGGGGAGUACGCCGGCAACGGUGAAACUCAAAGGAAUUGACGGGGGCCCGCACAAGCGGAGGAACAUGUGGUUUAAUUCGAUGAUACGCGAGGAACCUUACCCGGGCUUGAAUUGCAGAUGACGGAUCUAGAGAUAGUGACUUCCUUCGGGACAUCUGUGAAGGUGCUGCAUGGUUGUCGUCAGCUCGUGCCGUGAGGUGUCGGCUUAAGUGCCAUAACGAGCGCAACCCUUCUCUUCAGUUGCCAUCAGGUAGAGCUGGGCACUCUGGAGACACUGCCACCGUAAGGUGUGAGGAAGGUGGGGAUGACGUCAAAUCAGCACGGCCCUUACGUCCGGGGCUACACACGUGUUACAAUGGCCGGUACAGAAAGUCGGAUGCCCGUAAGGUCAUUCUAAUCAAGAAAGCCGGUCCCAGUUCGGACUGAGGUCUGCAACCCGACCUCACGAAGCUGGAUUCGCUA